RNAcentral lists this ribosomal RNA (101 nucleotides) under uncultured bacterium. RNAcentral describes it as "partial 16S ribosomal RNA". The record is from RNAcentral.
CCUUCGGGUUGUAAAGCACUUUUGUCCGGAAAGAAAUCAUCCCUGCUAAUACUGGGGGUGGAUGACGGUACCGGAAGAAUAAGCACCGGCUAACUACGUGC